Phoenix dactylifera (date palm) is the source of this 4877-nucleotide non-coding RNA. NCBI's taxonomy places the organism in Eukaryota, Viridiplantae, Streptophyta, Magnoliopsida, Arecales, Arecaceae. The record is from RefSeq and is a predicted model, not a curated record.
UGGAUGUUAAUUGUGAUAAGAGUUGGUGAAGAUACAUCUCAUUUGAUUAAAAAGCCAAUACAACAGCAUAACGGGAUCGAUAGGAUGAAGGAAGUAGAGUUAUUGGAUUACGGUUGAAUUGAACAGAAAAGCAUCCAAAAUGUAUAUCUUAUAUUUAGUUUGCAAAGUGGAUGGUUAAAGUGGGGACACUUGUAACAAACUUCUUACAUCCUCAACGCAAAACAUUCGUCUAACAUAAAAUGAAAUAAAAUUUAGGUGCCAUCAAACAUCGCUUUCAUUUUUCUAUUUUGUAAAAUAGAAAAAUAGAAACUCUGAUAUUUUAGUUUUAUUUUUUAAAAUAUAAAUAUACUUUGUACAAUCAAUAAUUUUUAAAAAUAUAAAUAUGAUGAGAUGGAGAAGAUAAUGGUAGUAACGAUUAAGACAUCUUUACAUGCCUGUAAUAUUGAUGGUGGAAGUAGUUACUGUAUGGCACAUAUGGCAAUGAUGGAGAUGUGGUAGAGACAAUGAUGAUGGUGGUGGAUGUGAUGGUGGUGAAGAGAUUGGGGGUGAUUGUAGAGAUGAUGACUUUAAUGGUUAAUGCGUGGUCAAGGUAGUCAGGGUAGUCUUCAUUUAUUUCAAAAGCGAAGUGGGUGUAAGAGAUAAAUAUAGUGACUAGAAGUGUCAAUUCUAGAGUAUAUAUGAAUAUAUAAUACCAGGAUAACUAGCAAUGACUCAUACAGAGCAGGUUUACUUUUUUUAGUUGCAAAUAGACUAAUUUGGUGCGAAUAGCAUUUAGGCAUGUUUGACACUUUUUUUUUCAAAAUUCAUUCUCAAAUAUCAAACUAAUGAAAGUUUUUGUAUAAUGAUAAUUUUGACAUUUGGUAAUUCCAUGUUGUCCAACUAUUUUUUUUUAUAGACAACUUUAGCCAAUUUGGAAGAUAGGGAAUAGUUCUACAAGAAUUUUUUUUUUUUUGGCUUAUCUACUUCUUGUAGAAGCAUUUGUCUAAUGAUAUUACCAAAUAAUAUUUUUUUUGGGAAGUACAUUUUUCAAUUUAAAAAUUGGAAAGAAAAAUCUCAAGCAACACCAAACAAGCCCUACUCUAAGCUCUUGACAAGUCUUGUCUGGUUACUAAACCAAGCCCUAAAAAAUGCUCUUUAGUGUUGAUCAAAUUAGGCACAUUGGGCUAUCCAGCCCAGAGCUAGAGUUGACAAUAACAAAGCCACUGAGAACUUUUUGCACCAUGUGGCAGUGUACCCUGGUGUCUGAUAUAUUUUGAAUUGACAAUAUUUUCCUUCCCCUAUAUAGAAUGCAAUCCAAUAGAGGCCAAAUAAGAUAGGAGAAGGUCAGAGUUUGUUUGCUUUCUUUUCUCCCUCCAGUUCUCAUCUGAGGCAAGUCUGUACUCUCCCUGCUUUAAUUUUUACUGCUCUUUAAAACUCUCCCCCUCUCUCUGCCCUAGUAGAUUUGAAAACUUUGCUGCAUGAGGUGGUUUCAUGUCAAUAAUAAAUAAAGGUGCCAUAUUUUAAUCAUGACGACCCUUUACCAUCUUUACCAGUAAAUUGUAAAUCUAAGUAUUCGUUUUUUAAAGAUACAAGAAAAAUAUCCAUUUUAACAGCAACUUAAGCAGGAUCAUUUUUGUUUCCCAUUAAAAAGAACUUAAGAAAAAAAUACAUCUUAUUUUAGAGAGGAUGAAGAUCCUUAGAUCGAGAACCUUGGAUCAUUUCAUUAGGGUGUUCAUGUCAUUUGCAAUGGACAAAAUGCUAAUACUCCAAAAAAAAUUUCCAUGGAUAUGCCUUUUCCAUUUUCAUCUUCAGGCAUUUUUACACCACAAAUAAAGUGGAGAAAUUAGGGUUUUCAGUUUGUCCAUUUAGUUCUACAGAAAUGUCUGGAAAACUGAAAAUCCUGAUAAUUAUGCACUCUCCAGAUAUUUUUUUUGGUUAUGUGGAUAUAGCAUUUUUUUUUUUUUAACUUUUGUAUCGACUUGUCUACAAUCAAACAAAAAGAAAAAUCAUAUUUUUAACAUAUGCAUUCCUUUUGACCAAUGUAUCUUGGAACAAGCAAAAACUAGCUGAGGAGCGUUUUUGCCUCAAUUUUCCCCUUAGGAAGGUCAUGAAGCUACAAGGUUUACCUCAUCUUCUAUUUUAGUUUUAGUUCAGGAUACCCAUGUCUAAAACCAGUUAUCCUUACAUCGCCAUAAUCCAAAAAAAGAACUUAUACAUACAUACAUACAUACAUAUAUCAACAUAAAUCAAUGCAAAAGAUAUUUUGAUGAACUUACAAUAAGAUAGUACAUCUUGCUUUCACUGUGAAAAUUGAACAUUAUGCUUAAAGAGAUGUUACAUAAACAAAACCAUGUCAGAUGACUGCAACCAAUGGGUUGUAGUCUCCAUCCCUGCAACUUAAUCUAAUAUGACCAUAAACCAAUUAGGUCCCUUUAAGUUAGUAUGCCAAUUUUUGCUCGUAAAGCAACUGGACAGUUUACCAAAUAAGACUGGUUUCAAUUAUCGAAUUUUUUUUUUGCUUCACAAUUCCAAAAAUUGGUUAAGCAAAGAUUCAUUUUUUUAAUUUAAACAUCUUUUCCUCUUAUGCUAGUUAACAAGCAUGACAUUUUUUUUUGUCUGCUGUUUGAUGCUAUAAUCAUUUAGGAAGACAGUAUACUUGUUAUUUAAAAGAAAAUCGUAAGAAAUGAACUAAUAAAGGCUUGGAAAGAAUGAUAAACAACAGUUUGCAAAGCCAAUCUAUAUAGAUGGAAUAAGAUUUCCUGAUUUACAUGAGAUUUCAUUUUUCCACAUUCUAACAUAUUACUGUAUACUUUGAUCAGUGAUAUUAGCUUGGUAAAGGAGCACACCGGCCUGAAUGGUAUGAGCUGUUAAUUAUAUACAAAGUUUUAUUAAUCAUUAGGGUUGUUUCUUUCUGAUCAAAUUCUAAGAGAAAGUUCAUUAUUCUACAUUAUAGCUUGAGUUUCUCUGCUAAAGUUUGAUCAUGAAAGCCCAACAAAUGUGCAAGAAACCUCAUUCAGAAUUUUCAACAGGAAUCAAUAUCUACACAACCAAAGAGAUCCAGACCCAGGGCUUCUAGAGGAGGGGCAAGUGCUAUAAGCAGGGCAGAUGUUUCUAAAAUAAUUGACCAAGUCAAGCACAAGAUAGAAUCAAGUUUAAAGUUCUAUAUGAGCGCAGAACAGAUACUGCAGAGACUCGAGAGAGAAGGAAUACCGCGCUGGCUUGCGCUUGAGGGUAGGGCUAACUCUAUAAAUGAAGCAAAAUAAAGUCUUAUUUGUUUAGCAUAUAGUUUAUUUAUGCGAUGAUCAUCUAUUUCUUUUAACUGAAAACCUUGUGUUUCUGGUGAUCUAGCUCCAAGUCUGCCAAAAGAACAUUCCUCCUGUUACUAGCUUUUUGAUUCAAUCCAGGCUCAGCUAGCAUGAGCUCCAUACACUACCCAAUCCAUCUCCCAUAGCCAAUUUAAAGGCAGUGGACAACAUUCUGCUACAUUUGCUUACCAAAAUCCAUGUCAAACCUCUUAGGGAGGUUUCUCCUCUUGGCUGUGUUACACUCUCUGAGAUCCAAAAUCCUGCUCUACGACCAACCAUAGGAUGCCAUCUAAAAUCCUGUCAUUAGAAGAUUCUACUAUUAUGUUAUUCCCUAAUGUCCCAAACAGACAUUUAAUUAUUUGCCAAAGUUGAGCAGCCAUAGCAGAACUGUUUGAGCAGCUUCACACUAGUCAUGAUGAUAUAAAAACGUUUGGCAAACAUCAGGGCCAGAGAACAAACCUAUCAUCAUCAUUGUUUCAGUACAUUGAAUCCCACAGUCAUUCACAUGCCAAAUGUGCAUUUGCUCCUCUCAUUUUUUUCCAAUAAGAGUGGUUCUUAAAGGUCAUCCUCAAGUAUAAAACAGUAAUUGAAACUGAACAGCUCUAGGGAUACCUUAGCUGUUUGCACCGCUCCUGUAAAUCCAUCCCAUUUGUUCAUGCACACUGUCAUACAUGGGUCAAUCAGGAUAUCUCUGGAGAUAAAAGUUGAUCUGGAAGAAAUUUCUACAUAUUAUAAUAAAGUAAUCCUCUGUUCAUAAAGCAAUACCCUGAGAAGCUCAAUUUCUUUUCUUAAGAACUGACCAGUCAGGCGCACAACCCACAAUUCUCUCAUCAAAGAUAGCUUCAUGAUCCUGAUUGGCUUGACCCUUCCUUUGAUUUUCCCUAUUUUUUUCUUAUUUUUUUGGGAGAAAGCAGAGGGAUACCACCACACAGAUUUGAAUCUGGGGCAUUUCCUUGCAUCGAGAGGAAGCCAACAACCAGUUGAGCCAAGUCUGAUGGGGGAAUGGCUUGAUCUGUCAUAGCACAGGAUGAAUACUGGCUUUACCAGGGUUGCUAAUGCUGUUCGCAAGAAUCGAUGGCAAAGGAUUCAUGAAGCCAACCUCAAAAGCAACUCAGUAAAUUAACCUAGAACUGAGUUUCUCCUCAAAGGGCCAUCUCAAGCACCCACAUAAUUUAAUUGCUAGUGUCUUUUGUUCAGAAUAUGAAUGAAAAUAUUUUGCUCUAAUUUGUUCCAUUCUUUUGGUUUUCUUCCCUACAUUCAGUGUGGAAGGCGCUUAGGGAGCAAAAUUGUGAUUUUUUUGUCGCAUAUAGUGUAAGAUUGAAGUUGAUCGAACAGAUCACCAAAUUCAAUGAGUUGCUUGAGCACCAACGAAAAUUAAUGAUGGCAAAUGCUUCACAGCCUUCAUUUCCAGUUGCUCCAAAUCAUCAUGCGAUCCACCCUAUGUCAGGCAAGUUUCCUCAGCUCUUCCAUAUUAGCUGGUGUUUUACCCGGCCUGUGAAUUUAACAAUCGAUCUUGCAAGGUACUUUUCUUCCUCAUAGACAUCCCUUUAUUCGAGGUGGCUUGAUCUGCUCUUCAAAUCAAAUAAGAAUAUU